UUGCUUAUACAUGUUCUUGAGAUUCUGAUAUACUAUAAAUACCCAAUAAUGAGAUGAUUCAGUAUUAUAGAAAUUCAAAGAAAUUCGAAAGCAAGAGGAACUCCUUUUAUUAUUUGUUCCGUGGAGAAGCUCAUGCUCGACCAUUUUGCAUAGUUCCAUAGUGUCAAUUAAUAUGCAUCUAUGAGUUGUUUGCUUUUGUUUAGGGGGCAUUGCUACAGAUCUCUGAUAUGUGCAGGAUUUCAUUGGUGGUUCUAUUAUAUUUUCUGAAGGAGAUUCAUUAGUUGAAUUUCAAAAUGGAGCUCUUACAAGUAGCACAAAAAUCUUAGAACUAUAAGUGGGGUUUAAAACACUAUCAUUCUAAUCAUUUCCUUAAGAUGAGGUGACUUUAUCAUUCUAAGCUGGUUUGUGUGGACCGGUGUUUUAUUGGAUCCUCUUGCUAAGUAUGGCUCCAUGGUGCGAGAAUUCAGUAAUUUCCCUGUUUCAUGGUGUUUUGCAAUGGAGCUUUUCGCUUAAUAUCAGCACCAGAGCUCUGACUUGUAACAUUGCAGCUGCUUGAAUGCAGUGGGUUGAAUUCUUACUCCAAUUUGCCAUCUUUAACAUAGAACACUGAUGUUUGACUGUGGGUUUUCAUUUGAAUAUAUCACCAUGACCGGAUCUACUUCAUUAAUAUUGUGUUAUUGUUUUAAUCUGGGGAUUUUCCUGUUCUGAUAAAUCUUGAAGAAGUAAAUAACUUUUUUGGUCAUAAUCUGACGUGUUCUUCUGCCAUUCUGGAUACUGUUCUCUUU
Molecule: long non-coding RNA, 785 nt
Filed under: Lathyrus oleraceus (garden pea)
Lineage: Eukaryota; Viridiplantae; Streptophyta; Magnoliopsida; Fabales; Fabaceae
Description: Pisum sativum (pea) long non-coding RNA (PSAT_LNC019047)
Source: RNAcentral